CCUACGGGAGGCAGCAGUGGGGAAUAUUGCACAAUGGGGGAAACCCUGAUGCAGCGACGCCGCGUGAGUGCAGAAGUACCUCGGUAUGUACAGCCCUAUCAGCAGGGAAGAAAAUGACGGUACCUGACUAAGAAGCCCCGUCUAACUACGUGCCAGCCGCCGCGGUAAUACGUAGGGGGCAAGCGUUAUCCGGAUUUACUGGGUGUAAAGGGUGCGUAGACGGCGCGGCAAGCCAGAAGUGAAAGGCAGGGGCUUAACCCCUGGACUGCUUUGGAAACUGCCAUGCUCGAGUGCUGGAGAGGUAGGUGGAAUUCCUGGUGUAGCGGUGAAAUGCGUAGAUAUUAGGAGGAACACCGGUGGCGAAGGCGGCUUGCUGGACAGUAACUGACGUUGAGGCUCGAAAGCGUGGGGAGCAAACAGGAUUAGAUACCCUGGUAGUC
RNAcentral lists this ribosomal RNA (440 nucleotides) under uncultured bacterium. RNAcentral describes it as "partial 16S ribosomal RNA". It matches the Rfam family "Bacterial small subunit ribosomal RNA", at positions 338 to 795 of the family's 1533-position model. The record is from RNAcentral.